This 777-nucleotide small RNA is filed under the name Pan troglodytes (chimpanzee). RNAcentral's name for it is "processed transcript". Lineage: Eukaryota; Metazoa; Chordata; Mammalia; Primates; Hominidae. The record is from RNAcentral.
GGCGGGGCCUGGGCGGGGUUAUAUAAGCCAGCGGCGGGCGGAAGGCGGGGCGAGGGGUCGGUGGCUGCUGGGCUGGCGGGGCGCAGGCCGCGGGACCCGAGCCCGGGGGAGCGAGAGAGCGGAGGCGCCGAGGAUCCGAUUCAUUCGCUGGGGAGACCUAUGGGCCGAAGCCGUGUAGAUGCGUUUUAAGGGGCCUCGGCUCCGCAACUGCCACUCCUCCUCGGGGUGUUGCACAAGUUUCGAGGUCACCGGCGACCCCCCCUAGCAGCGCUCCUGGCUCUGGCCCCCGCGAAGGAGGACGGAGUUUGUGUGUUGCAUACUUUCUAAGGCGGCGGCUGCAGCAGCGGCUCCAUCCAGCCCGUCAGCUCCUCCUGCAAGGCAUGGCUGGCUACCUGAGUGAAUCGGACUUUGUGAUGGUGGAGGAGGGCUUCAGUACCCGAGACCUGCUGAAGGAACUCACUCUGGGGGCCUCACAGGCCACCACGGCAGAGAUGGAGUUGGUCCAGCAUAUUGGAAUCCCUGCCAGUAAGAUCAUCUGCGCCAACCCCUGUAAGCAAAUUGCACAGAUCAAAUAUGCUGCCAAGCAUGGGAUCCAGCUGCUGAGCUUUGACAAUGAGAUGGAGCUGGCAAAGGUGGUAAAGAGCCACCCCAGUGCCAAGAUGGUUCUGUGCAUUGCUACUGAUGACUCCCACUCCCUGAGCUGCCUGAGCCUAAAGUUUGGAGUGUCACUGAAAUCCUGCAGACACCUGCUUGAAAAUGCGAAGAAGAACCAUGCGG